Molecule: ribosomal RNA, 678 nt
Filed under: Phytopseudomonas flavescens
Lineage: Bacteria; Pseudomonadati; Pseudomonadota; Gammaproteobacteria; Pseudomonadales; Pseudomonadaceae
Description: bacterial SSU rRNA
Rfam family: Bacterial small subunit ribosomal RNA
Source: RNAcentral
GGGUGAGUAAUGCCUAGGAAUCUGCCUGGUAGUGGGGGAUAACGUUCCGAAAGGAACGCUAAUACCGCAUACGUCCUACGGGAGAAAGCAGGGGACCUUCGGGCCUUGCGCUAUCAGAUGAGCCUAGGUCGGAUUAGCUAGUUGGUGAGGUAAUGGCUCACCAAGGCGACGAUCCGUAACUGGUCUGAGAGGAUGAUCAGUCACACUGGAACUGAGACACGGUCCAGACUCCUACGGGAGGCAGCAGUGGGGAAUAUUGGACAAUGGGCGAAAGCCUGAUCCAGCCAUGCCGCGUGUGUGAAGAAGGUCUUCGGAUUGUAAAGCACUUUAAGUUGGGAGGAAGGGCAGUAAGCUAAUACCUUGCUGUUUUGACGUUACCGACAGAAUAAGCACCGGCUAACUUCGUGCCAGCAGCCGCGGUAAUACGAAGGGUGCAAGCGUUAAUCGGAAUUACUGGGCGUAAAGCGCGCGUAGGUGGUUCGUUAAGUUGGAUGUGAAAGCCCCGGGCUCAACCUGGGAACUGCAUCCAAAACUGGCGAGCUAGAGUACGGUAGAGGGUGGUGGAAUUUCCUGUGUAGCGGUGAAAUGCGUAGAUAUAGGAAGGGAACACCAGUGGCGAAGGCGACCACCUGGACUGAUACUGACACUGAGGUGCGAAAGCGUGGGGAGCAAACAGGA